GAUGAACGCUGGCGGCGUGCCUAAUACAUGCAAGUCGAGCGAACAGACGAGGAGCUUGCUCCUCUGACGUUAGCGGCGGACGGGUGAGUAACACGUGGAUAACCUACCUAUAAGACUGGGAUAACUUCGGGAAACCGGAGCUAAUACCGGAUAAUAUAUUGAACCGCAUGGUUCAAUAGUGAAAGACGGUUUUGCUGUCACUUAUAGAUGGAUCCGCGCCGCAUUAGCUAGUUGGUAAGGUAACGGCUUACCAAGGCAACGAUGCGUAGCCGACCUGAGAGGGUGAUCGGCCACACUGGAACUGAGACACGGUCCAGACGCCUACGGGAGGCAGCAGUAGGGAAUAUUCCGCAAUGGGCGAAAGCCUGAAGGAGCAACGCCGCGUGAGUGAUGAAGGUCUUCGGAUCGUAAAACUCUGUUAUUAGGGAAGAACAAAUGUGUAAGUAACUAUGCACGUCUUGACGGUACCUAAUCAGAAAGCCACGGCUAACUACGUG
This 497-nucleotide ribosomal RNA is filed under the name uncultured bacterium. RNAcentral's name for it is "partial 16S ribosomal RNA". It matches the Rfam family "Bacterial small subunit ribosomal RNA", at positions 28 to 507 of the family's 1533-position model. The record is from RNAcentral.